Molecule: unclassified non-coding RNA, 642 nt
Filed under: Bombus terrestris (buff-tailed bumblebee)
Lineage: Eukaryota; Metazoa; Arthropoda; Insecta; Hymenoptera; Apidae
Description: misc RNA ENSBTSG00005029672.1
Source: RNAcentral
AGUUAAGAUGAAUAAAAUCUCACGCGUCAAAAAAUAUCGACAGUUAACAAAAUGGCGAACGUAAAAUCGCAGUCUUGCCAAUGAAACAAGUCGCUUUACCGAUUCUACCUUACCCAUAGAACGUAGAGUUAUAGUCGGAGAUCGCUUCGAUGAUAUCGACCGAUAUUUGUAAUAAAAAAGUAUAUAAAAAGAUUACCAAACGAGGGAAUUAGAAAUAGCGCUACCUAUAAUCGGUACAAAUAGAUUCAAUGGCGCGAAAAGGUUUUACGUAUUUGCAAAUACUUUUAACUUCAAACAACCAUAUUUUUAAGAAAAAUUACACUGACAGAUAAAGCUGUUUGUUCCGAUGUAUUUACGUAACACGAAAAUAGAAAUUGUAAACAUUGUAGCAACGCUAAACCAACCGAGUGUAGUGCCGCUUUGAAAGUAAAAUUAAUCGUGCGAAACCUAUCAUCGCCGUGAAUCAUAAGAAUCUCGCAAUUAUAAUGUCAUAAUGAAAUUGGAUGCGUAAGAGAUGCUCGCUUCGAUAAAAGAUUAAAUCUUUUUUACUUCAUAAGGAAGUGGAUAGAAAAAUAAAUACAAGCUUCAAAUAUAUAUAUCUGUAGUCCGUAGACUAACGAACAGUUAACUACUUAGUCAGCC